This 518-nucleotide long non-coding RNA is filed under the name Lathyrus oleraceus (garden pea). RNAcentral describes it as "Pisum sativum (pea) long non-coding RNA (PSAT_LNC000349)". The record is from RNAcentral. Lineage: Eukaryota; Viridiplantae; Streptophyta; Magnoliopsida; Fabales; Fabaceae.
AAAAAAGGACAAGAAAAAUACAUAAAGUCCCAAAUAUUACUCAUGAAUGUAUUUCAAAAGUUGGAUGCAAAAAGGCUUUAAAAUGAUUAAAAAAUAAAUUGCAAAAGGAAAUUAAAAAGAAAAUGAAAUAAAAAAUCAUUUUAAAAAAAUGGGAUAAAAUGUAUAUGAUGAAAAAUAUUUGUAGACACUUUGUGUAAAAAAUUUGGAUCAAAUUGAAUUAAAAAUGAGUGAGAAAUUAAUUGGGAAAAGAAAAAGAAAAAGAAAAAGAAAAUAAAACAAAUAAAAGAAAAAGGGUGCCAACGACUAUGUGGUUUGAAUAAACAUGUUUGCGUUAUCCCAUUGGCUGAGAGAUUUGAAUCACGCGCAAAACAACUUCAUCUUCAACCUCCCUUUGAUUUCUGCGACAUCAUGAACUCGGUGUUUUUGGCCAAAACAACACACAUUUCAGCAACAACAUCCAUCAUCGUUCAUGUCUCUUUGCUUCAGAGCCAUUGAUUGGCUCUGAGCAACGAGAAUUU